This 468-nucleotide ribosomal RNA is filed under the name uncultured bacterium. RNAcentral's name for it is "partial 16S ribosomal RNA". It matches the Rfam family "Bacterial small subunit ribosomal RNA", at positions 28 to 507 of the family's 1533-position model. The record is from RNAcentral.
GACGAACGCUGGCGGCGUGCUUAACACAUGCAAGUCGAACGGAAAGGCCCUGCUUUUGUGGGGUGCUCGAGUGGCGAACGGGUGCGUAACACGUGAGUAACCUGCCCUUGACUUUGGGAUAACUUCAGGAAACUGGGGCUAAUACCGGAUAGGAGCUCCUGCUGCAUGGUGGGGGUUGGAAAGUUUCGGCGGUUGGGGAUGGACUCGCGGCUUAUCGGCUUGUUGGUGGGGUAGUGGCUUACCAAGGCUUUGACGGGUAGCCGGCCUGAGAGGGUGACCGGCCACAUGGGGACUGAGAGACGGCCCAGACUCCUACGGGAGGCAGCAGUGGGGAAUAUUGCACAGUGGGCGGAAGCCUGAUGCAGCAACGCCGCGUGCGGGAUGACGGCCUUCGGGUUGUAAACCGCUUUCGCCUGUGACGAAGCGUGAGUGACGGUAAUGGGUAAAGAAGCACCGGCUAACUACGUG